CCCUUAGAUGUUCUGGGCUGCACGCGCGCUACACUGAUGCGCUCAACGAGUUUAUGACCUUGCCUGGAAAGGUUGGGUAAUCUUCUUAAAACGCAUCGUGAUGGGGAUAGAUUAUUGCAAUUAUUAAUCUUCAACGAGGAAUUCCUAGUAAGCGCGAGUCAUCAGCUCGUGCUGAUUACGUCCCUGCCCUUUGUACACACCGCCCGUCGCACCUACCGAUUGAAUGGUCCGGUGAAAUCUCGGGACGGCUGAUUAACCGCUUGCGGUUGACGGCUGAAACUUGAUUAAACCAUAUCAUUUAGAGGAAGGUGAAGUCGUAACA
This 322-nucleotide ribosomal RNA is filed under the name uncultured eukaryote. Its description in RNAcentral is "partial 18S ribosomal RNA". It matches the Rfam family "Eukaryotic small subunit ribosomal RNA", at positions 1470 to 1796 of the family's 1831-position model. The record is from RNAcentral.